UACGGAGGGUGCAAGCGUUACUCGGAAUCACUGGGCGUAAAGGACGCGUAGGCGGCUUCAUAAGUCAGAUGUGAAAGCCCACGGCUCAACCGUGGAACUGCAUUUGAAACUGUGUGGCUAGAGUCUGGGAGAGGCAGAUGGAAUUGGUGGUGUAGGGGUAAAAUCCGUAGAGAUCACCAGGAAUACCGAUGGCGAAGGCGAUCUGCUGGAACAGUACUGACGCUGAGGCGUGAAAGCGUGGGGAGCAAACAGGAUUAGAUACCCUGGUAGUCCACGCCCUAAACGAUGAAUGCUAGUUGUUGGGGUGCUUGUCACUUCAGUAAUGCAGCUAACGCAAUAAGCAUUCCGCCUGGGGAGUACGGUCGCAAGAUUAAAACUCAAAGGAAUAGACGGGGACCCGCACAAGCGGUGGAGCAUGUGGUUUAAUUCGAAGAUACGCGAAGAACCUUACCUGGGCUUGACAUCCCGAGAACCGGCCAGAGAUGGCUGGGUGCUACUUUUAGUAGAGCUCGGUGACAGGUGCUGCACGGCUGUCGUCAGCUCGUGUCGUGAGAUGUUGGGUUAAGUCCCGCAACGAGCGCAACCCUCGUCCUUAGUUGCCAGCACAUCAAGGUGGGCACUCUAAGGAGACUGCCCGGGUAACCGGGAGGAAGGUGAGGACGACGUCAAGUCAUCAUGGCCCUUAUGUCCAGGGCGACACACGUGCUACAAUGGCGUGUACAAUGAGAGGCGAUACCGCGAGGUGGAGCAAAUCUAUAAAACACGUCCCAGUUCGGAUUGCAGUCUGCAACUCGACUGCAUGAAGUUGGAAUCGCUAGUAAUCGUGAAUCAGCCAUGUCACGGUGAAUACGUUCCCGGGUC
Molecule: ribosomal RNA, 861 nt
Filed under: uncultured bacterium
Lineage: Bacteria
Description: bacterial SSU rRNA
Rfam family: Bacterial small subunit ribosomal RNA
Source: RNAcentral